AGUGAACGCUGGCGGUAGGCCUAACACAUGCAAGUCGAACGGCAGCACAGUAAGAGCUUGCUCUUACGGGUGGCGAGUGGCGGACGGGUGAGGAAUACAUCGGAAUCCACUUUUUCGUGGGGGAUAACGUAGGGAAACUUACGCUAAUACCUCAUACGACCUACGGGUUGAAUCAGUGGAUCUUCGCACCUUUCGCGAUUGUAUGAGCCGAUGUCGGAUUAGCUAGUUGGCGGGGUAAGGGCACACCAAGGCGACGAUCCGUAGCUGAGCUGAGAGGAUGAUCAGCCACACUGGAACUGAGACACGGUCCAGACUCCUACGGGAGGCAGCAGUGGGGAAUAUUGGACAAUGGGCGCAAGCCUGAUCCAGCCAUACCGCGUGGGUGAAGAAGGCCUUCGGGUUGUAAAGCCCUUUUGUUGGGAAAGAAAAGCAGCAGGUUAAUACCCCGCUGUUCUGACGGUACCCAAAGAAUAAGCACCGGCUAACUUCGUG
This 492-nucleotide ribosomal RNA is filed under the name uncultured bacterium. RNAcentral describes it as "partial 16S ribosomal RNA". It matches the Rfam family "Bacterial small subunit ribosomal RNA", at positions 29 to 507 of the family's 1533-position model. The record is from RNAcentral.